AUGAAAUAAAGAAAUGAAACUCGCUAAGCAGACAAAAACAGACAACUUUCUGCUUAGAAAACAGCCUUCUCGGUGGGAGAGGAUGAACUGCCAUGUCUAAGAGAAAGACUUGCCCCCGAAUUUGUAGACUCACAUCCCCACUCAAAAUGAGAAAAUUAGAAAAGGAGGAUGGAGGACGAGCACACCAAAAAGGGAUAAAAAGAGAGAAAAGGGGAGGAAAAAAAACCUACCUGCGAAGUCUUGUUUGUAGUUUUGGCCAGAAAUGGUGAGAAGAAAAAGCAUGAAGAAGCCGCGAAGUGUGGGGGAGAAAAAGGUGGAAGCGAAGAAACAGCUCCCGGAGCAAACUGUACAAAAACCUCGCCAAGAGUGUCGGGAGGCAGGACCGUUAUUCCUGCAGAGCAGGAGAGAGACGAGAGACCCUGAAACACGCGCCACCUAUCUUUGUGGGGAGGGAUAAUUGAAGCGCCCUGAGCGUACCAGAGCCAGAAAAAAAAAUGCUGCAUGGGAGCUGCAUCUUAGGGCAUGUGUAUUAGGGUGUGUGCAUGAUGAAUUUCUGGACUGGAUCCCAAUAUUAAAAAGUAGUUUGGCAUUUUAAUAAAGGGUCUCUAAGUAAAUUAAAAUAGAACACUCGGUUGGCCGAUCUCUGAAUCUCUCUACACCUCGGGGAGACCUCACUACAAAGUAAGGGAGAGUGUGUAGGGAGGCAGGAGGAGAAACGAGAAAGGCCAUAGAGAAACUUAGCAGGGAAGGGAGAGCAUGAUAUUAAACGGCAUGGGGUCUAAGUUUUGGAGUAUAUAUUUUUUGAUAUUACAAUUAAAGUAAGAUUAAAAAGAAAAGACUCCACCUUUGCUCUGAAGGGAUUGGUUAUGCAAAUAUGGAAGGGAUUUCCUGGAGAAUACAGCUUUCUACUGUAUGGUUAAUUAAAUAAUCACUCAAAAGCUUCCAACGUGACGCUUCUGUCGUAAUCCAAUCAGGUUACAUAGGUCCUAAACAAGAAAGAUAUUUUCCACAUCUGGAAGUCAGCAAUUUAGCAAGUACUGCACAUUAUUAACCAAUUCAGAGCCCACUUCCCAGGGGAAUUUUUUUGAAGUUUAAGUGUUCUUAACCAAUGCUCUGCUGUUUUGUUAAUCAAAAAGCUGGUUUACACUGCACAUAAUUGGAACUAAUAUAGAAGUAAAUAAAGACAGCCAAAUUUGA
Molecule: long non-coding RNA, 1197 nt
Filed under: Homo sapiens (human)
Lineage: Eukaryota; Metazoa; Chordata; Mammalia; Primates; Hominidae
Description: PREDICTED lncRNA (TCONS_00151656)
Rfam family: ZEB2 antisense RNA 1 conserved region 4 (bases 759-836)
Source: RNAcentral